RNAcentral lists this ribosomal RNA (200 nucleotides) under uncultured bacterium. RNAcentral's name for it is "partial 16S ribosomal RNA". It matches the Rfam family "Bacterial small subunit ribosomal RNA", at positions 337 to 528 of the family's 1533-position model. The record is from RNAcentral.
UCAGUACGGGAGGCAGCAGUAGGGAAUCUUCGGCAAUGGGGGCAACCCUGACCGAGCAACGCCGCGUGAGUGAAGAAGGUUUUCGGAUCGUAAAACUCUGUUGUUAGAGAAGAACAAGUGCUAGAGUAACUGUUAGCGCCUUGAUGGUAUCUAACCAGAAAGCCACGGCUAACUACGUGCCAGCAGCCGCGGUAAUCUGA